UGGGCCCGGUGAAUCAUCCAGCGUUCUCGCUGGUGCACUUUGCCGGGCACAGCCCAGCAUCAGUUUGGCGCGGGGGAAAAAGGUUUUGGGAAUGUGGCUCCCUCGGGAGUGUUAUAGCCCAUUGCGUAAUACCCUGCGCCGGACUGAGGUACGCGCAUUGCAAGGAUGCUGGCGUAAUGGUCAUCAGCGACCCGUCUUGAAACACGGACCAAGGAGUCGUCUUCGUAUGCGAGUGUUCGGGUGUCAAACCCCUACGCGUAAUGAAAGUGAACGCAGGUGAGAGCUUCGGCGCAUCAUCGACCGAUCCUGAUGUUCUCGGAUGGAUUUGAGUAAGAGCAUACGGGGCCGGACCCGAAAGAA
This 360-nucleotide ribosomal RNA is filed under the name Akanthomyces uredinophilus. Its description in RNAcentral is "Lecanicillium uredinophilum partial large subunit ribosomal RNA". It matches the Rfam family "Eukaryotic large subunit ribosomal RNA", at positions 438 to 824 of the family's 3401-position model. Lineage: Eukaryota; Fungi; Ascomycota; Sordariomycetes; Hypocreales; Cordycipitaceae. The record is from RNAcentral.